ACCGCGGUUGCCCAGUUGGUAAUGGCAUCGGCAGUACAGAAUAUGCCGAAGGUCGCAGUUUCAAAUCCUGCCUGCGGCG
Non-coding RNA from Phthorimaea operculella (potato tuberworm), 79 nucleotides. The record is from the annotation of a GenBank genome assembly. Lineage: Eukaryota; Metazoa; Arthropoda; Insecta; Lepidoptera; Gelechiidae.